Molecule: ribosomal RNA, 464 nt
Filed under: uncultured bacterium
Lineage: Bacteria
Description: partial 16S ribosomal RNA
Rfam family: Bacterial small subunit ribosomal RNA
Source: RNAcentral
CCUACGGGUGGCAGCAGUAGGGAAUCUUCCACAAUGGGCGAAAGCCUGAUGGAGCAACGCCGCGUGGGUGAAGAAGGUCUUCGGAUCAUAAAACUCUGUUGUUAGAGAAGAAAGUGCGUGAGAGUAACUGUUCACGAUUCGACGGUAUCUAACCAGAAAGACACGGCUAACUACGUGCCAGCGGCCGCGGUAAUACGAAGGAUGCGAGCGUUAUCCGGAUUUAUUGGGUUUAAAGGGUGCGUAGGCGGCCGCUUAAGUCAGCGGUAAAAUUGCGGGGCUAAACCUCGUCGAGCCGUUGAAACUGGGUGCCUUGAGUGGGCGAGAGGUACGCGGAAUGCGUGGUGUAGCGGUGAAAUGCGUAGAUAUCACGCAGAACUCCGAUGGCGAAGGCAGCGUACCGGCGCCCAACUGACGCUGAGGCACGAAGGCGUGGGUAUCAAACAGGAUUAGAUACCCCAGUAGUC